UCGGAAGGAGGGUAUGUCUGCAGAUCGCAAGUCCGGGGCCUAACUUAAUAUUAAGUUACGCCCAUUGACGGUUUCCAUUAGUGUGGUGUUUUUGAUUAAGUGUAUGCGUUUAUGGAGGAAUAAUUACAGGGUCAAUGAUGAAGAUUUCGUGAUGAAGUAAAAGAGUGGACAGGAUAUUGCAUCAUCAAGAGGACCCCAACUGACCUUAACUGAUGAGUGAAAGUCACUGUGUUCCAGCUGGGUCAGUGGUGCUGCAGCUGAACAGGACCAGAGUGUGUCUAGGUCCGGCAUCUCCAUACUCGUCCAACUCAAGCCUCCAGUGGUCGUGUCCUCACAGAUGUGGUCCUGC
This is a long non-coding RNA of Esox lucius (northern pike), 349 nucleotides long. The record is from Ensembl. Lineage: Eukaryota; Metazoa; Chordata; Actinopteri; Esociformes; Esocidae.